CAUCUGCAGUGUGACCACAUGA
This 22-nucleotide microRNA is filed under the name Ornithorhynchus anatinus (platypus). Its description in RNAcentral is "oan-miR-1414-3p". The record is from miRBase by way of RNAcentral. Lineage: Eukaryota; Metazoa; Chordata; Mammalia; Monotremata; Ornithorhynchidae.